AUUGAACGCUGGCGGCAUGCUUUACACAUGCAAGUCGAACGGUAACAGGUUAAGCUGACGAGUGGCGAACGGGUGAGUAAUGCAUCGGAACGUGCCCGGUCGUGGGGGAUAACGCAGCGAAAGCUGCGCUAAUACCGCAUACGAUCUGAGGAUGAAAGCGGGGGACCGUAAGGCCUCGCGCGAUCGGAGCGGCCGAUGGCAGAUUAGGUAGUUGGGGGGGUAAAGGCUCACCAAGCCGACGAUCUGGAGCUGGUCUGAGAGGACGACCAGCCACACUGGGACAGAGACACGGCCCAGACUCCUACGGGAGGCAGCAGUGGGGAAUUUUGGACAAUGGGCUCAAGCCUGAUCCAGCAAUGCCGCGUGCAGGAAGAAGGCCUUCGGGUUGUAAACUGCUUUUGUACGGAGCGAAAAGGCUCUCUCUAAUACAGGGGGCUCAUGACGGUACCGUAAGAAUAAGCACCGGCUAACUACGUGCCAGCAGCCGCGGUAA
This 493-nucleotide ribosomal RNA is filed under the name uncultured bacterium. RNAcentral's name for it is "partial 16S ribosomal RNA". It matches the Rfam family "Bacterial small subunit ribosomal RNA", at positions 29 to 523 of the family's 1533-position model. The record is from RNAcentral.